GAUUGACAUGCUGUACCUGUCGUUUCCUUCACUAGACAAACACGUCUCAUGAUGGCAGGAUCCUGUUAAAGACAGUCACCUUUGACAAGAUCAAGAAGCACAAGAAGUACCACGGCUGUGUCCUGCUCAAAAUCGUGGACUUUUAUCGGGAAGUUCUCCAGAGACAAGACAGAAAUUAUCCUGACCUUGRGGGCCUGCUGGAUGAAGUGAAGGAAUGCGUUCACCCAAGAAAGAUCUGUGAAAAGCUGUACAGGAAGCUGCUGGGAAACCAGUGAACGAGUCUAAGAUAGAGGAAGACUUGGAGCUGCUGACGAAGGAUGUAGCAUUUCAGCUGCAGAGACUGAAGGCGCAGUAAAAAGGUGGGGUUCCACGUUACUCUUCAUCCAUAGUGAUCACAUGAAGGCAGCCAGUAAAAGGUGGGGUUCCACGUUAACUCUUCAUCCAUAGUGAUC
This is a long non-coding RNA of Salvelinus sp. IW2-2015, 452 nucleotides long. RefSeq lists it as uncharacterized. The record is from RefSeq and is a predicted model, not a curated record. Lineage: Eukaryota; Metazoa; Chordata; Actinopteri; Salmoniformes; Salmonidae.